This 700-nucleotide ribosomal RNA is filed under the name uncultured Bacillota bacterium. RNAcentral describes it as "bacterial SSU rRNA". It matches the Rfam family "Bacterial small subunit ribosomal RNA", at positions 42 to 743 of the family's 1533-position model. The record is from RNAcentral. Lineage: Bacteria; Bacillati; Bacillota.
UCAGGCCUAACACAUGCAAGUCGAGCGAGAAGGUUAUGAAGGAUUCUUCGGAAGACAGAGUAACUGGAAAGCGGCGGACGGGUGAGUAACGCGUGGGUAACCUGCCCUAUGGAGGGGGAUAACGUUUUGAAAAGAACGCUAAUACCGCAUAAGCGCACAGUAUCGCAUGGUACAGUGUGAAAAACUCCGGUGCCAUAGGAUGGACCCGCGUCAGAUUAGCUAGUUGGUGGGGUAAAGGCCUACCAAGGCAACGAUCUGUAGCCGACCUGAGAGGGUGAUCGGCCACAUUGGGACUGAGACACGGCCCAAACUCCUACGGGAGGCAGCAGUGGGGGAUAUUGCACAAUGGGGGAAACCCUGAUGCAGCAAUGCCGCGUGAAGGAAGAAGGUUUUCGGAUUGUAAACUUCUAUCAGCAGGGAAGAAAAUGACUGUACCUGACUAAGAAGCCCCGGCUAACUACGUGCCAGCAGCCGCGGUAAUACGUAGGGGGCAAGCGUUAUCCGGAAUUACUGGGUGUAAAGGGUACGUAGGCGGUGCAUCAAGUCAGAUGUGAAAGCCCGAGGCUCAACCUCGGGACUGCAUUUGAAACUAGUGUACUAGAGUACAGGAGAGGAAAGCGGAAUUCCUAGUGUAGCGGUGAAAUGCGUAGAUAUUAGGAAGAACACCAGUGGCGAAGGCGGCUUUCUGGACUGUUACUGA